UAGCAGCUCAGUUCAUCUCCUCCUGCCUCCAGAUCAAGAUGUAUCUCUGCUUCUUCUCCAGCACCGUGUCUGCCUGCACACUGCCAUGCUUCCCACAAUGAUGAUAAUGGACUACACCUCUAAAACUCAUCAUUCAGGAUGUGCUCCAUUCUGCCAACUUCAUCAACAGUCUGCACUGUUCGCUUCCAAUUCAGCCCACUGUCUCCUUGGGGAACAAGAACUGAGUAUUUUAUCUCUCUUCCCCACAUCACUGGGCCUUCCACAGACAACUCCCUCAAGAUACAGGUUCUGAGCCGACUCCCUAAGAAGACCAGCUCCUCAACAGCCCUGAGCCAGUCGUGCUGCUUGCUCUGUUCACUCUGCCGAUGAAGAAACUGAAGAGCAGGACUCCAGAGCAGCGAGAAUGAAAGGCUCAUUCCUCUCGGCAUCUCCACUGCCCUGUGAAUCCAGCUCCUCUAACACUGCUGAGUAUUUCUGAAUGUAUUGCCAACUGAAAA
Molecule: long non-coding RNA, 497 nt
Organism: Rattus norvegicus (Norway rat)
Lineage: Eukaryota; Metazoa; Chordata; Mammalia; Rodentia; Muridae
Source: RefSeq, a predicted model, not a curated record